UACGUAGGGGGCAAGCGUUGUCCGGAUUUAUUGGGCGUAAAGAGCGUGUAGGCGGCCAUACAGGUCAGCUGUGAAAACUCGAGGCUCAACCUCGAGACGUCGGUUGAAACCGUAAGGCUAGAGUCCGGAAGAGGAGAGUGGAAUUCCCGGUGUAGCGGUGAAAUGCGCAGAUAUCAGGAGGAACACCGGUGGUGUAGACGGCUCUCUGGACCGUAACUGACGCUGAGACACGAAAGCGUGGGUAGCAAACAGG
RNAcentral lists this ribosomal RNA (253 nucleotides) under uncultured bacterium. RNAcentral describes it as "partial 16S ribosomal RNA". It matches the Rfam family "Bacterial small subunit ribosomal RNA", at positions 524 to 776 of the family's 1533-position model. The record is from RNAcentral.